Molecule: transfer RNA, 72 nt
Filed under: Camelus bactrianus (Bactrian camel)
Lineage: Eukaryota; Metazoa; Chordata; Mammalia; Artiodactyla; Camelidae
Also listed under: 2 other names
Rfam family: tRNA
About the family: Transfer RNA (tRNA) molecules are approximately 80 nucleotides in length. Their secondary structure includes four short double-helical elements and three loops (D, anti-codon, and T loops). Further hydrogen bonds mediate the characteristic L-shaped molecular structure. tRNAs have two regions of fundamental functional importance: the anti-codon, which is responsible for specific mRNA codon recognition, and the 3' end, to which the tRNAs corresponding amino acid is attached (by aminoacyl-tRNA synthetases). tRNAs cope with the degeneracy of the genetic code in two manners: having more than one tRNA (with a specific anti-codon) for a particular amino acid; and 'wobble' base-pairing, i.e. permitting non-standard base-pairing at the 3rd anti-codon position.
Source: Rfam by way of RNAcentral
GAGGGUAUAGCUUAGUGGUGGAGCUUGUGCUUAGCAUGCCUGAGGUCCUGGGUUCAAUCCCUAGUACCUCCA